ACGCACGCUGGCGGCGUGCUUCACACAUGCAAGUCGAACGGAAAGGCCCUGCUUUUGUGGGGUGCUCGAGUGGCGAACGGGUGAGUAACACGUGAGUAACCUGCCCUUGACUUUGGGAUAACUUCAGGAAACUGGGGCUAAUACCGGAUAGGAGCUCCUGCUGCAUGGUGGGGGUUGGAAAGUUUCGGCGGUUGGGGAUGGACUCGCGGCUUAUCAGCUUGUUGGUGGGGUAGUGGCUUACCAAGGCUUUGACGGGUAGCCGGCCUGAGAGGGUGACCGGCCACAUUGGGACUGAGAUACGGCCCAGACUCCUACGGGAGGCAGCAGUGGGGAAUAUUGCACAAUGGGCGGAAGCCUGAUGCAGCAACGCCGCGUGCGGGAUGACGGCCUUCGGGUUGUAAACCGCUUUCGCCUGUGACGAAGCGUGAGUGACGGUAAUGGGUAAAGAAGCACCAGCUAACUACGUG
This 467-nucleotide ribosomal RNA is filed under the name uncultured bacterium. RNAcentral describes it as "partial 16S ribosomal RNA". It matches the Rfam family "Bacterial small subunit ribosomal RNA", at positions 29 to 507 of the family's 1533-position model. The record is from RNAcentral.